GGGCGCGAUCAUACCAGCACUAAUGCACCGGAUCCUAUCAGAACUCCGCAGUUAAGCUUGCUUGGGCAAAGCGUGCUUGGGCGAGAGUAGUACUAGGAUGGGUGACCUCCCGGGAAGUCCUCGUGUUGCACCCC
RNAcentral lists this ribosomal RNA (134 nucleotides) under Brassica oleracea var. oleracea. The record is from RNAcentral. Lineage: Eukaryota; Viridiplantae; Streptophyta; Magnoliopsida; Brassicales; Brassicaceae.